ACACUGAAGUGAGUCAGGAAAGAUUCACCAUCUUCAGUUAUAAUUUUAUGCCACUUAUCUGCCAGAGUCUGGUGGAAAUGAGAUCAAGAAAAAUGAGCAGGUCCAAGAUAAUAAAGCAUGGAGCAGAUGUAGGGAUCAAGCAGAGCCACAUUCCUGCAUGAGCCGGACUUCCAGAAGGUGCUUGGCUGAGCUGGAGGCUCUCGUCCCAUCAUCCUUUUCCUCCUCACUCUGAACAAAGUUCCAUGCACGGAAGAGGGUUUCCCAGCUUCCAUGGGUCCUUUUUCUUUCCCUCUGCAGGUCCCCUCUUCCCCACUUACUGUUUAAACUCUUUACUCCAUUCCUUCUCAAAAUAAAGGCCAUUUAGUGAGAACUUCCUCAGU
Molecule: long non-coding RNA, 380 nt
Filed under: Callithrix jacchus (white-tufted-ear marmoset)
Lineage: Eukaryota; Metazoa; Chordata; Mammalia; Primates; Cebidae
Description: lncRNA (ENSCJAG00000064796.2)
Source: RNAcentral